RNAcentral lists this unclassified non-coding RNA (222 nucleotides) under Rozellomycota sp. RNAcentral describes it as "Cryptomycota sp. partial contains small subunit ribosomal RNA, internal transcribed spacer 1, and 5.8S ribosomal RNA". The stretch from base 1 to 47 matches the Rfam family "Eukaryotic small subunit ribosomal RNA", at positions 1785 to 1831 of the family's 1831-position model. The record is from RNAcentral. Lineage: Eukaryota; Fungi; Rozellomycota.
AAAGUCGUAACAAGGUUUCCGUAGGUGAACCUGCGGAAGGAUCAUUAACAAAUUUUUUGGGAAUUAAUUAGGAGCAAUCCUUUUUGAGGACCAACAUAUACCCGGCCGCAGAGACAUGUCAUGUGUCUGUGCGGCUUGGAAAUAUAUUUACGCUUGUAUUGUUUUGACUGUAUAAAAACUGAGAAUUAUAAACAACUUUUAACAAUGGAUCUCUUGGCUCUU